Long non-coding RNA from Solanum pennellii, 1416 nucleotides. RefSeq lists it as uncharacterized. The transcript is spliced from 2 exons. Lineage: Eukaryota; Viridiplantae; Streptophyta; Magnoliopsida; Solanales; Solanaceae. The record is from RefSeq and is a predicted model, not a curated record.
UCUCAAAGAAAGCAGAAGCGGUGUGAGAAGACACGUGAUCAGGUAGCACUACGACUUUUGUUGUCGUCUUCUUCAUUUCCCACGAUAACAGUACACCCGCGCAGCUCUCUAGCAGAAAAAGCAUCACGCGUUUUCGUCCUUUUGGCACGAGACGGAGCCACGUUGCUAGCCAAGAACAAUGAGAUUGAUCCAGCCGUCUGUUUCCCCUUUCCUAUUCUGGAAUGGGUCGUAAUUUCAAGAAAAAGGUGGUCUCUCCUUAAUGGUGAAACGAAUUCAAGUUUGAAUUUGAGAUGGGCCUUGAACCCUAAUUCCAUCCUUUUCCCCAGAAGUCUGCCCUAAUUUCUCUUAUAAAACCCUACCAUCAUCUUCUUUAGGGGGGUUAGAAAAAGCUUACAGGAGGGUGAUGAAAAAGUGAGAUGAAAUAUUGGAAUCAGCUAUCCCUUUAAAAUACAAGAUACGCACUAAAUUUCCAGCAAUACUAUGAUAUAAAAUAUUUAGGAUAGUUUUUAGAAAUCCAAAUUUUGGUCGAGCCCUUGUUCUCGUCGUACCCAGCUGCUGAUAGGAAUUCUAGGGAUCACGUCUUAGUGGCGAAAGAUCGUUUCCGUUCAGCUCGUUUGUUCUCUGUUCGCUUCUCAAAAAGAGUGUUGUUAUUCACUUGGAGAUGGAAUAUCAAGUUAGUCAUAUCAGGAGAUUUAGAGAGAUUUCCGUACCUUUUCUUUACUUUGAUAAAUAAAAUUGCAUGAGUUGUAUCGUUUCUUGUCCAUGCUUCAUUUUAAAUUCCUCGUUGACCUUUCAAUUUGGUAUACUGUCCUAGAUCACUAGCCUUGUAUUAGUGCUAAAUAUCUUUUAUGGCAUACAUUUAUUUUAUGAUUUCUUUCUUUUACUAUAAUUGGUUUAGUUGGUCAAAACAUGUAGAAAGUUAUCAAAGAGUUAUCAUGUGAUAUCCUUGAGUUCAAUUAGUCCUAAUUCAAUGUUUUCCCCUCACUGCAAUGCUUAGGCAGUAGCAUACUUUGGUUUUCUAUUCUUGUCUGCUUAUAUCAAACAGUUAUGAAUGACUACUUAUAAGUUUACAUCUUUUUGUCACAUGUAAAAAUUCGUAUCGAUUUCACCAUGAACUCCCACUUCCCCACCUCUUUCAUUUCGGUAGAGCCACAGAGGCUCAAAAUUUCUUCAUCGAGUUAAGCUCACAAAAUUGACGUACAGAUCGAGAAUCGAAGAGAUUGGGGCAAAGCCAACAUUUUAUUUCAUUUUUAGAUGUAUUUUGUUAGUUAUUAGGCCCAAAGCCUAAAGAAAAUAUUUAUCUUUUCAUGAUUAUUUUAGGACAGGUAUCUAAGGUGACAAAAUUGGGCCAAAAGCACAAAACGAAAAUGGGUCCAAAUAUCGGUUCAGGCGGACAGAAACCGGAUUCGGACCCAA